CCUACGGGAGGCAGCAGUGGGGAAUAUUGCACAAUGGGGGAAACCCUGAUGCAGCGACGCCGCGUGAGUGAAGAAGUAAUUCGUUACGUAAAGCUCUAUCAGCAGGGAAGAAACACUGACCUUACGGUCAGCAGACGGUACCUGAGUAAGAAGCCCCGGCUAACUACGUGCCAGCAGCCGCGGUCAUACGUAGGAUCCGAGCAUUAUCCGGGGUGACGGGGGGUAAAGAGUUACGUAGGUGGGAUAAUAAGUAGCGAGUGAAUUCUGAUGGCUCAACCAUUCAGACGAUUUGGUAAACUGUUAAGCUCGAGACCGUUAGGGGUAACUGGAAUUUCUAGUGUAGGAGUGAAAUCCGUAGAUAUUAGAAGGAACACCAAUGGCGUAGGCAGGUUGCUGGGAUGGUUCUGACACUAAGGCACGAAAGCGUAGGGCGCAAACGGGAUUAGAUACCCGAGUAGUC
This 460-nucleotide ribosomal RNA is filed under the name uncultured bacterium. RNAcentral's name for it is "partial 16S ribosomal RNA". It matches the Rfam family "Bacterial small subunit ribosomal RNA", at positions 338 to 795 of the family's 1533-position model. The record is from RNAcentral.